AGGAAACAUAUUGUUCAAAAACCCAUAUAACCUUUGCAUACAAAACUUCCUAACAUUAAAAGUAAACAGAUCAUACUGAGGAGAACAAUGUCUAAUGAUACUGAAAAUGGAUAGACUAUAGUUUCAACAUAAAUAAAAGUGUAAUUGGAGUCUUGUAAAGAACUUAUAUUUGAUAUCCCUACUCAUUGUAAAACAUAAAGCACUUUAUAUAAGCACAUAGUCAUCAUAACCAUAUAUUGAAAGACUUGAAGCAUUCCAUUUAGCUUAUCCUUUGGUAAAUCUUGCAACUCGAAGCAUAGUGUCAAGGUAAUCAAAGUUGCAUGAGCCAGAGUAGUGUAGGAAUGCAAUUGCCAAUUGGGAUCAGCAAUGCCUAUCCAACAAAAAGUUUACAUUGAAGGAUAACUAAUGGCUGUUGACUAUGAUAAGUUGCAAAUUAUGUGCUUUCAGGUCUGUCUAACAGAUACCAUCUUGACAUCAAUGCUUCACACUAUGAUCGAAUCAGUGACUUGUUGAUUAACAGAUGAAGCAUGAAGCAGAAAAUAUGCACUUCAAAUCAAGUAUCCACAACUAAAAACAUCUAAGUUGGCAUAUAUCAGUAAGGUCACAGAAUUGAUCCGCUCUUGGUCUCUAUGCAACUUAAGAACAAAAAUUAGCAUACAGAAAAAGAAACAAGGAAGAAAGAAUAAAUCAGACAAGUACAUCUGGCAAUGGUUGUGCGAACCAAGGCACGAGCCAGGAGUGCCCUCUUCUGAAGCUGGUCUCCAGGCAUGGAUAGAACAUUUUUUUUCUCAAC
RNAcentral lists this long non-coding RNA (793 nucleotides) under Manihot esculenta (cassava). RNAcentral's name for it is "long non-coding RNA (MESC_LNC004367)". The record is from RNAcentral. Lineage: Eukaryota; Viridiplantae; Streptophyta; Magnoliopsida; Malpighiales; Euphorbiaceae.